This is a ribosomal RNA of 434 nucleotides. It matches the Rfam family "Bacterial small subunit ribosomal RNA", at positions 341 to 792 of the family's 1533-position model.
ACGGAAGGCAGCAGUGGGGAAUAUUGCACAAUGGGGGAAACCCUGAUGCAGCGACGCCGCGUGAAGGAUGACGUAUUUCGGUAUGUAAACUUCUAUCAGCAAGGAAGAUGAUGACGGUACUUGACUAAGAAGCCCCGGCUAACUACGUGCCAGCAGCCGCGGUAAUACGUAGGGAGCAAGCGUUAUCCGGAUUUACUGGGUGUAAAGGGCGUGUAGGCGGGACAUCAAGUCAGAUGUGAAAGCACGAGGCUCAACUUCGUGUCUGCAUUUGAAACUGACGUUCUUGAGUGUUGGAGAGGCUAACGGAACUCCUAGUGUAGCGGUGAAAUGCGUAGAUAUUAGGAAGAACACCAGUGGCGAAGGCGGUUAGCUGGACAAUAACUGACGCUGAGGCGCGAAAGCGUGGGUAGCAAACAGGAUUAGAUACCCUGGUA